UGGUUAUGCUCUGCUGAAGCAGUCUGCCCAC
RNAcentral lists this non-coding RNA (31 nucleotides) under Mus musculus (house mouse). The record is from RNAcentral. Lineage: Eukaryota; Metazoa; Chordata; Mammalia; Rodentia; Muridae.